This 430-nucleotide ribosomal RNA is filed under the name uncultured anaerobic ammonium-oxidizing bacterium. RNAcentral's name for it is "bacterial SSU rRNA". It matches the Rfam family "Bacterial small subunit ribosomal RNA", at positions 383 to 810 of the family's 1533-position model. The record is from RNAcentral.
GUGAACGAGCGACGCCGCGUGCGGGAUGAAGGGCUUCGGCUUGUAAACCGCGAAAGUUUGGGAAGAAGGCGCAGGUCGUGAACUUGUGCUUGACGGUACCUUACAUAAGCCCCGGCUAACUCCGUGCCAGCAGCCGCGGUAAGACGGAGGGGGCAAGCGUUGUUCGGAAUUAUUGGGCAUAAAGGGCGCGUAGGCGGUCUGUUAAGUCAGAUGUGAAAUACUUCGGCUCAACCGGAGAACUGCAUUUGAUACUGACGGGCUAGAGUGCAGGAGGGGAGAGUGGAAUUCCUGGUGGAGCGGUGAAAUGCGUAGAUAUCAGGAGGAACGCCGGUGGCGAAAGCGACUCUCUGGCCUGCAUCUGACGCUGAGUGCGCGAAAGCCAGGGGAGCAAACGGGAUUAGAUACCCCGGUAGUCCUGGCCCUAAACUAU